RNAcentral lists this unclassified non-coding RNA (229 nucleotides) under uncultured Entrophospora. RNAcentral's name for it is "uncultured Claroideoglomus partial internal transcribed spacer 2". Lineage: Eukaryota; Fungi; Glomeromycota; Glomeromycetes; Entrophosporales; Entrophosporaceae. The record is from RNAcentral.
GUAAAUAAUAAUUAUCAUAAUCUUUUGAUUGUGGAAUUGGGCUUUUAUUUCAUUUUUUAAUGGUUUAUGGCCUUAAAUUUAUGUUACCGCUUGUUUAAUAUGAAAUUCGACCGAAUGGAGCAAUUAAACAAUUCUCUCGUUAGGCGGAUUCAUCAAGCAAUUACGAUUUUUUGGCCGUCGAAGCACUUUUUUUUAGAAGUGCUUGGUCGAGAUUGUAAGAUACAUUUAA